RNAcentral lists this ribosomal RNA (229 nucleotides) under uncultured bacterium. RNAcentral's name for it is "partial 16S ribosomal RNA". It matches the Rfam family "Bacterial small subunit ribosomal RNA", at positions 568 to 796 of the family's 1533-position model. The record is from RNAcentral.
UGCGUAGGCGGAUUGAUAAGUCAGUGGUGAAAACCUUCAGCUUAACUGGAGACUUGCCAUUGAUACUGUUAGUCUUGAGUACGGUCAAGGUAGGCGGAAUGUGUAAUGUAGCGGUGAAAUGCUUAGAUAUUACACAGGACACCGAUUGCGAGGGCAGCUUACUGGGCCAUUACUGACGCUGAGGCACGAAAGCGUGGGGAGCGAACAGGAUUAGAUACCCUGGUAGUCC